UGGGAUUCAGUGUUUGCAUGCUCCCAAUAUCUUGCAUCUCGUAGUCAAGCCUCAACGAGAAUACUCAAGCAAAUUGGUCGUACAACUGAAGGUUACUUGAUUAGGAAUUGCUCAAAAUUCCUAAGAUUGGAAUAUUACAUUAUAAUAUGAGCUAAUGUCAAAAUGAGAGAGAGAUAGAGGGGCAAUUUUUUUUUUUUAAUUUUAAUGUUAGGGGUAAUUUUAUACUUUUACAUAAAAAAUGAUUAAUUUUUUAAAAAAUAUUUAAUAGACUAAUUUUUAAAUUUACUACUAUGAAAGUGGCCAAGUUCAUAUAUUACCUCUUAAUUUAACUCAUAAAUAAUAUUCCUUCAGUCCCACCGAAGUUGAGGCGUUUCUUUUGGGCAUGAAAUUAAGG
This 394-nucleotide long non-coding RNA is filed under the name Salvia miltiorrhiza (redroot sage). Its description in RNAcentral is "long non-coding RNA (SMIL_LNC013697)". The record is from RNAcentral. Lineage: Eukaryota; Viridiplantae; Streptophyta; Magnoliopsida; Lamiales; Lamiaceae.